UUGUAUCUAUGAAAGCAUAAUGUCUGCUGCUAAGGUUUCCACUACAGAUGCAAGAAAAAGAAGGUUCUCCCCCUUUCUGUCUGUCUGGAUGUGGUAGCCAAGAUCCAAUGGGGGAAUACAGGA
Molecule: small nucleolar RNA, 123 nt
Filed under: Dasypus novemcinctus (nine-banded armadillo)
Lineage: Eukaryota; Metazoa; Chordata; Mammalia; Cingulata; Dasypodidae
Description: Small nucleolar RNA SNORA31 (ENSDNOG00000033408.1)
Source: RNAcentral